CCUACGGGAGGCAGCAGUGAGGAAUAUUGGUCAAUGGGCGCGAGCCUGAACCAGCCAAGUAGCGUGAAGGAUGACUGCCCUACGGGUUGUAAACUUCUUUUAUAAAGGAAUAAAGUGAGGCACGUGAGCCUUUUUGUAUGUAUAUUAUGAAUAAGGAUAGGCGAACUCCGGGCCAGCAGACCCGGUAAUACGGAGGAUGCGAGCGUUAUCCGGAUUUAUUGGGUUUAAAGGGAGCGUAGAUGGGUUGUUAAGUCAGUUGUGAAAGUUUGCGGCUCAACCGUAAAAUUGCAAUUGAUACUGGCAGGCUUGAGUGCAGUUGAGGUAGGCGGAAUUCGUGGUGUAGCGGUGAAAUGCUUAGAUAUCACGAAGAACUCCGAUCGCGAAGGCAGCUUACUGGGCUGCCACUGACGUUGAGGCUCGAAAGUGUGGGUAUCAAACAGGAUUAGAUACCCUGGUAGUC
This 460-nucleotide ribosomal RNA is filed under the name uncultured bacterium. Its description in RNAcentral is "partial 16S ribosomal RNA". It matches the Rfam family "Bacterial small subunit ribosomal RNA", at positions 338 to 795 of the family's 1533-position model. The record is from RNAcentral.